This 813-nucleotide ribosomal RNA is filed under the name Photobacterium damselae. RNAcentral's name for it is "partial 23S ribosomal RNA". It matches the Rfam family "Bacterial large subunit ribosomal RNA", at positions 399 to 1214 of the family's 2925-position model. The record is from RNAcentral. RNAcentral also lists the same sequence under 1 other name. Lineage: Bacteria; Pseudomonadati; Pseudomonadota; Gammaproteobacteria; Vibrionales; Vibrionaceae.
UCAGUGAAAUCGAGUAGGACGGGACACGUGUUAUCCUGUCUGAAUAUGGGGGGACCAUCCUCCAAGGCUAAAUACUCCUGACUGACCGAUAGUGAACCAGUACCGUGAGGGAAAGGCGAAAAGUACCCCUGUGAGGGGAGUGAAAUAGAACCUGAAACCGUGUACGUACAAGCAGUAGGAGCAGGCUUGUCCUGUGACUGCGUACCUUUUGUAUAAUGGGUCAGCGACUUAAUUUUAGUAGCAAGGUUAACCAUCUAGGGGAGCCGUAGGGAAACCGAGUCUUAACUGGGCGUCAUAGUUGCUAGGAUUAGACCCGAAACCGAGUGAUCUAGCCAUGGGCAGGUUGAAGAUUGAGUAACAUCAAUUGGAGGACCGAACCGACUAAUGUUGAAAAAUUAGCGGAUGACUUGUGGCUAGGGGUGAAAGGCCAAUCAAACUCGGAGAUAGCUGGUUCUCCCCGAAAGCUAUUUAGGUAGCGCCUCGGACGAAUACUACUGGGGGUAGAGCACUGUUAAGGCUAGGGGGUCAUCCCGACUUACCAACCCUUUGCAAACUCCGAAUACCAGUAAGUACUAUCCGGGAGACACACGGCGGGUGCUAACGUCCGUCGUGAAGAGGGAAACAACCCAGACCGCCAGCUAAGGUCCCAAAGUUAUAGCUAAGUGGGAAACGAUGUGGGAAGGCUCAGACAGCCAGGAUGUUGGCUUAGAAGCAGCCAUCAUUUAAAGAAAGCGUAAUAGCUCACUGGUCGAGUCGGCCUGCGCGGAAGAUUUAACGGGGCUAAGCUAUACACCGAAGCUGCGGCAAUGUGCU